CAGCGAGUGCCCAGCUUGGGAGCUCUUUUCUUAGGCUGUGGUUUUGAGGACCUUUUUCCCUAGUUACAUUUUAUACAAAAAUACAAUGAAAUCCGGAGUUUUUAUUUUUUUCUUCAGGGAUUUCUCAGUUGAUAAUAAGCCUUCAGCCUGAUUCUAGCAAGAAGCAGGCCCAGCUACCAGCUGGGGUAGAAAACCUGAGGAGCACACUUUGUAAGCCCCUACCCAUUGCAGGGCCAGGCAUGAAGUAGACUGAAAAUGAGUAGAAAGCUGGGGUCAAAGGAGGAAGAAGUACAAACCCCCAAGGAAAAACAUUUCUUGGUUAAUGAAGUGUGAAUCCAAACGCGAGGGAGGGGAUGAGGACCAGCAAGCUACCAGGCAGUGUUCAUUAAAUCUGUGUGUGGUGUGAUCAGAAAUCUGGAGCAUACCUCAUCCCUGCUGCCUUAAGGGAAAAAAUAAUCCAUUUUUAGAGUUCACCUUGCAAUGGUCAUGAGCCUCGUUAAGCUCGGUGCUGCUGCAGCUCCCCUCUGAUGGCUGGUGGUAUUUCUGUCAAGUUCCCUGUGUAACUGUGCUAGACCUGCUCUGCUACUGCUGGGAAAGCCAGGCCUGUGAAUAAGUGAGAACAGAGAACUGGGCAAGUGACAUGAGAUUGGUUUUCAGUUCGUGAACCUGGAUGGAUAUUUUCCCAAUAUUUUACGUCCAUCUUCCACCCUGACUUUUCUUCCCACUGCUAAGUGGCCAUGGCUCACUCAGCUGUUUGUGGUCUAUUUGGUGCGUAGACCUUGCUGUCUUCUGUGUUUCACCAGAAGCAGCUGGUGAGCAGCGCACACCAACACACUGGGCCACUGUGGCUGUAUCUUAGUUUCUUGCCCGCUUUUCUGUGUGUCGUGGGAGGAUUUCUGAUCUGUGUGCUGUGUAUUUCCAGGCAUGCUACAUGUUCACAGGCACACACAUUCAGAUGAAAGACGUUCGUGUUUAAUGCAUUUUCUGCAUCUCCAUCCAAAAUCCAGCAAAAAUAAACAUAUCUCAAGAGUAAAUGA
Non-coding RNA from Anas platyrhynchos (mallard), 1037 nucleotides. Lineage: Eukaryota; Metazoa; Chordata; Aves; Anseriformes; Anatidae. The record is from RefSeq and is a predicted model, not a curated record.